RNAcentral lists this ribosomal RNA (443 nucleotides) under uncultured bacterium. Its description in RNAcentral is "partial 16S ribosomal RNA". It matches the Rfam family "Bacterial small subunit ribosomal RNA", at positions 338 to 795 of the family's 1533-position model. The record is from RNAcentral.
UCUACGGGAGGCAGCAGUGGGGAAUAUUGGGCAAUGGGCGCAAGCCUGACCCAGCAACGCCGCGUGAAGGAAGAAGGCUUUCGGGUUGUAAACUUCUUUUCUCAGGGACGAAGAAAGUGACGGUACCUGAGGAAUAAGCCACGGCUAACUACGUGCCAGCAGCCGCGGUAAUACGUAGGUGGCAAGCGUUCUCCGGAUUUAUUGGGUGUAAAGGGCGUGUAGGCGGGAGCGCAAGUCAGAUGUGAAAUCUCAGGGCUCAACCCUGAGCCUGCAUUUGAAACUGUGUUUCUUGAGUGCUGGAGAGGCAAUCGGAAUUCCGUGUGUAGCGGUGAAAUGCGUAGAUAUACGGAGGAACACCAGUGGCGAAGGCGGAUUGCUGGACAGCAACUGACGCUGAGGCGCGAAAGCGUGGGGAGCAAACAGGAUUAGAUACCCCAGUAGUC